ACGAACGCUGGCGGCGUGCCUAAUACAUGCAAGUCGAGCGAAGUUUUUCUAGUGCUUGCACCGGAAAAACUUAGCGGCGAACGGGUGAGUAACACGUAAAGAACCUGCCUCAUAGACUGGGACAACUAUUGGAAACGAUAGCUAAUACCGGAUAAUAGCAUUAACUGCAUGGUUGAUGUUUAAAAGUUGGUUUUGCUAACACUAUGAGAUGGCUUUGCGGUGCAUUAGCUAGUUGGUGGGGUAAAGGCCUACCAAGGCGACGAUGCAUAGCCGACCUGAGAGGGUGAUCGGCCACACUGGGACUGAGACACGGCCCAGACUCCUACGGGAGGCAGCAGUAGGGAAUCUUCCGCAAUGGGCGAAAGCCUGACGGAGCAACGCCGCGUGAGUGAAGAAGGAUUUCGGUUCGUAAAGCUCUGUUGUUAGGGAAGAAUGAUUGUGUAGUAACUAUACACAGUAGAGACGGUACCUAACCAGAAAGCCACGGCUAACUACGUG
Molecule: ribosomal RNA, 498 nt
Filed under: uncultured bacterium
Lineage: Bacteria
Description: partial 16S ribosomal RNA
Rfam family: Bacterial small subunit ribosomal RNA
Source: RNAcentral